AUUGAACGCUGGCGGCAGGCCUAACACAUGCAAGUCGAACGGUAACAGGAAACAGCUUGCUGUUUCGCUGACGAGUGGCGAACGGGUGAGUAAUGUCUGGGAAACUGCCUGAUGGAGGGGGAUAACUACUGGAAACGGUAGCUAAUACCGCAUAACGUCGCAAGACAAAAGAGGGGGACCUUCGGGCCCCUUGCCAUCGGAUGUGCCCAGAUGGGAUUAGCUUGUUGGUGGGGUAACGGCUCACCAAGGCGACGAUCCCUAGCUGGUCUGAGAGGAGGACCAGCCACACUGGAACUGAGACACGGUCCAGACUCCUACGGGAGGCAGCAGUGGGGAAUAUUGCACAAUGGGCGCAAGCCUGAUGCAGCCAUGCCGCGUGUAUGAAGAAGGCCUUCGGGUUGUAAAGUACUUUCAGCGGGGAGGAAGGGAGUAAAGUUAAUACCUUUGCUCAUUGACGUUACCCGCAGAAGAAGCACCGGCUAACUCCGUGCCAGCCGCCGCCGUAA
This 506-nucleotide ribosomal RNA is filed under the name uncultured bacterium. Its description in RNAcentral is "partial 16S ribosomal RNA". It matches the Rfam family "Bacterial small subunit ribosomal RNA", at positions 30 to 523 of the family's 1533-position model. The record is from RNAcentral.